Molecule: ribosomal RNA, 392 nt
Filed under: uncultured Chrysophyceae
Lineage: Eukaryota; Chrysophyceae
Description: partial small subunit ribosomal RNA
Rfam family: Eukaryotic small subunit ribosomal RNA
Source: RNAcentral
GCUUGUCUCAAAGAUUAAGCCAUGCAUGUCUAAGUAUAAAUGAUUUUAUAUUUGAAACUGCGAAUGGCUCAUUAUAUCAGUUAUAGUUUAUUUGAUGGUUCAAUACUAUUUGGAUAACCGUAGUAAUUCUAGAGCUAAUACAUGCAUUAAUCCCCGAAUUCAAGGGGUGUAUUUAUUAGAUGGAAACCAAUGCGGGGCAACCCGGAAUAUGGUGAAUCAUAAUAACUUUCGGAUCGUAUCGCAAGAUCGAUGCAUCAUUCAAGUUUCUGCCCUAUCAGCUUUGGAUGGUAGGGUAUUGGCCUACCAUGGCUUUAACGGGUAACGGAGAAUUAGGGUUCGAUUCCGGAGAGGGAGCCUGAGAAACGGCUACCACAUCCAAGGAAGGCAGCAGG